CCAAAUCUCAUGGUAAAAAUUAAUUAAUCUCUCGCCCCAAUAAUCACAGAGAGAAUUUUCUAAAAUAGCUAAAGCUUCCAAAUCUGAGAUUUCUACAUAGUUUUCUUGUUAUACACGUUUUAAUUCAAACAAAUGUAUAAAACUAGGAACUGUCAUACUAGGGGAUAUCUUAAAAGACUUGAAUUCUUUUAGCUUCUUCUCUUUUUCCCUUUAUAUAGCCCUCUCAUUUUGUAACAGAUUUGUAUCAUCCUGGGGACACCAUUUCGUAUGAUCUCAUGACCUCGAAAAUACAUCCUUUGACGACGUGCUCUUCCACCUUGUCUCUUUGUUCGACAUUCAGAACUCCCACUUAGAGUGAUUCAAGUUUUUCCCAUUUAGACAUGUUUGAAAUAGGAACCAAGAAAUAAUAAGAAUGGUGGAACUACUCAAUGUGACCUUUUAUGUCACAAUUUAUCAUAGAAGGCAAAAUUUAUUUAUAAAAAAUUGAGACUAAUUAAAUCAAAAAAAAAUAUCAUAAUAAUUUUAACCAAUUAUUUAAAUCAUAAACAUGUUAAAUAAAUAAUGAUCCAAGUGGUUACACAACUCCACUUUAAAAUAAGAUCAUGUUAAUGAUUUUGUUAAAAAAAACUCAAACAAAUCCUUUUUUUAUAAAAUUAUUGAAAUUCACCAAAAAAAUCAAUAAAAAUUUUAAACAGUAGAGUACUGUUUCAUCGCCUUUCCCCAAAAAAAUAUAAGGGCUAACUGUUUUUUUUUUUAUAGAUUUAUCAUUUCAUAAAAAAAAAAACUUAUCAAUCUUAUAAAUAUAUUAAAGAGAAGGAAUACUUUUAAUUAUAGAGGAAAGAGAAAAAUACUAUGAAUGUUUCCCACAAAAACAAAGUGCACGUUUCCAUUCUAACAAUUAUUAUCUCUUCCUCUUUAUUAAGAUCAUGAACACAAGUCCAGAGAAUUUUUAUACGAAAAAAAUAAAUCUUUCUUAUUUUCCUUUACACUAAAGAGCAUCUUCAGUUAACACCUUUUAACACAAUUUUCAUCAAAUAUUAGGAGAAAUAUAAGAGUACAGAUCCAAAAAAAAUUGAAGAAACAAAAAAAAUUACAGAUCUAUAUUUGGGUCCGUCGCGCAGUUGUAGCGCACUGAUUUCAAAUUAGAAAGCUGUAUAUUAGAUUCACAUCGGGUUCAAAAAUCCCGAUCUAUCUUCGAUUAUGAAUUCUUUGUAACAGGUAAGUUAUUGCUUCAUGAAUUUCUUACACUUAAAAUACAAGAAAUUAUCAUGCAAACAUGGUCUGGCUCUAAUGCCAUUGUUAGAUAAUGCGGAGUAAAAUUAAUGUACCUUGAUAUGUUGCAACAUAAGAAGUUGAUUUUGCUACCGAAAGAAUCUACCCUAGUCUGCUUUGAAUAUCUUGAAAUCAAAGUAUAAUAAUCAUGGACUAAUUAUCUUUUGGUGUUUUUGUAUAAUAAUCAAUUUGUUGUCUCUGUUUUUCAGUUGCCCAUUUUCUGAUGAAGAAGCAUUUGAAAUAUAUAAGGUAAGAGCAGUUUUCUUUGUAACUGUUCUCCAAAAGUUCAAAUAAGUAGGAUUCUUUCUUCUUAUUUUUUUCAAAAAAACUGAAAAAACAAAGACGGGUCGGGUCGGAUCAGUUCACAUGGGUGACUCAUGACCCAAAAUAUCCAACAGUAAUAUUUGUUACCAUUAUUUCUUUUCUUGUCUCCUAAUUAAAAAUCUUUUAUACAAAAAUAGUAAUUGAAGAUGUGGCCUGAUCUUAUACAAAAGGCUAAAUAUGGAGGCUUAGAUGUUAUUGAGACUUACAUGUUCUAGAACGGGC
This 1818-nucleotide long non-coding RNA is filed under the name Capsicum annuum. RNAcentral's name for it is "long non-coding RNA (CANN_LNC011822)". The stretch from base 1107 to 1177 matches the Rfam family "tRNA". Lineage: Eukaryota; Viridiplantae; Streptophyta; Magnoliopsida; Solanales; Solanaceae. The record is from RNAcentral.